RNAcentral lists this transfer RNA (72 nucleotides) under bacterium. RNAcentral describes it as "tRNA-Ala". It matches the Rfam family "tRNA". From Rfam's summary of the family: Transfer RNA (tRNA) molecules are approximately 80 nucleotides in length. The record is from RNAcentral. RNAcentral also lists the same sequence under 1 other name.
GGGCCGUUAGCUCAGCGGUAGAGCACCUCAUUUGCAAUGAGGGGGUCGCCGGUUCAAAUCCGGCACGGUCCA